AAAGCUUAAACCAGUCAGUGUGACUACUCUGCGACGUAGACACCAUGUGACUGAUUCCUGAUCAGAGACAAAAACUGAUGAUGGCUUUGCGGAGAGUCUUACUCUGGAUACAGGAUAAGUGACAGAUCGACCCUGUGUGACCCUUCCGGAAGUUAAGGGUACUUCUCACCUGACUAUUGUGAGGCUCUCACUGAGAGAAGCCAAGUGAACUUGAAAGGUGAUCCUACACGUGAAACUUGGCUAUUUUUAACUUCUCAUGUUCAUGAGAGCCCUCUGUGUAAGAAUUAUAGAAUGAGUUGAUAGUUGCUCAUAGAUUAGUUAAUAGAUAUUUUUUUCAAAAAGGCAAGUGUUCAGCAAAGGAAGUUAAGGCAUCGACGUGGUUUUGUUACUUUGUUAUAUAUCUAACAUUUCUACCCUUAUAAAAUGAUAUUUGUAUACUGACUUUGAAUAUGUUCUGUUCUGGAAAUGUCUAACCUACAGUGAAAAACAAGCAAAAGAAAAUGGUCUCGAUGAAAACAUUUUUACAGUUUGUCAACUAACCUGCAAGCUGAUCGGUGAAGGAAUAGUAAAGAUAGUUUAUUGGUAGAGUGAUAAAAGGUAAAGUUGUAAGAAUAACGCAUGAAUGUAGUGCACACAUUGAUAGAAAUGUUUAAUGGUAGAUCUUUAGUUUCGUAGAAUAGUUUUGAAACUUGUUAAUUAUUUUCUGAUAAUUCCCUGUUGUUAUUGUUAAGGAGGAAACGUCGCACUUAAGUUCGUAUCAUCUAAUUUGUACCCUCUAACCUAUGUAUUACUCAGAAUAGUCCAUCAUGAAUAUUAAGUUUAAAAGUGCGUACUGUACUGUAGUCGAGAAAAUACGGCAUGCUCCAUGAAGCUGUGUGAGAAUUGAGAAUUGACCUCUAGCACUACCACCCGUGGAAUGCCAACCUCACUGUCUGUAGUGAUAACGCAAUAGAAUACAAGGUUUAGCAGCAUCUACUGUCUCCGUCUGAUUCCACUACAAGAUAUAAACAAAAUAUUAGAGUAUAUAACAGGGAUGUGACAAGUAACGCAACCUCUUGCACCACCCGUGGAAUGCCCACCUCACUGUCUGUAGUGCUAACGCAAUAGAAUACAAGGUUUAGCAGCAUCUACUGUCUCCGUCUGAUUCCACUUCAAGAUAUAAACAAAAUAUUAGAGUACGUAACAGGGAUGUGAGAAGUAACGCAACCUCUUGCACCACCCGUGGACUGCCCACCCCACUGUCUGUAGUGCUAACGCAAUAGAAUACAAGGUUUAGCAGCA
Molecule: long non-coding RNA, 1281 nt
Organism: Branchiostoma floridae (Florida lancelet)
Lineage: Eukaryota; Metazoa; Chordata; Leptocardii; Amphioxiformes; Branchiostomatidae
Exons: 2
Source: RefSeq, a predicted model, not a curated record